Cavia aperea (Brazilian guinea pig) is the source of this 137-nucleotide small nucleolar RNA. The record is from Ensembl. NCBI's taxonomy places the organism in Eukaryota, Metazoa, Chordata, Mammalia, Rodentia, Caviidae.
CUGGCCCUGAAUUAAGGCCAGCAGCUUCCCGACACUGUUGGUUUCAAGCAGGAGCCUAAAGAGAUGUCUUUCUAUGGUCUGUUGGCCAUUUCACAACUUGGGCAGUGAAAUGGUCAAUCCAUUAGAAAGAAACAGCU